GUGAAUGGUGUUUGUUAGGGAGAAUGUCCGCUGCGGUCCUCACUCCCCUGUCCCAGAGGUCAGUCUCCUGCAGUUCAUCCUAAUACAAGGUCAUUCACUCUGAGGAAAGCCAGGAGCCAUGUUGUGUGAACACCCAGGAAGCUUGUGGAGAGGUCCUUGUGGAAAGAAAUAGAGUUUUUGGCUGAUGACCAACCAGGAGUAUACAGAUUAAAAUAAGACUGGUUGUGGAGAAAAGAAGAGAGAGACAGUUAAGGGGACAAGAAGUUCAUGUUACAAGGACAAGCACGUCUUUCAGUGAGCCUUGCUAAACCAUGCAUCCUGCUGGAGAUCUGGAGAAAGCCAGGUUAUGGGUCAGCCACAGGCUCCAGAGGGAAGAUAUGCCCACAAGAGGGCCCCAGAACUCAGCACACAUCUGCUGCAAGAUGGGAGCUGCAGGCAGGAACGUGGAGGCAUCAGAGCCAGGACGCAUUUAAUAAGCAGUGUGACAAGGAAUAAAAUAACUAUUAAUAAGGUACUUUGCAGACUUGAUUCCAGCCCCAUUAAACUUUCCUUUACCUUAUUUCACACUCCAUUUCCAAAGUACCCUCUUCUCACCCCCCACCUUUAAUGGUUCUGGCAAACUUGGGUCCUAAUGAAGUCUGGCAGCAUAAAUUUAAGGCAGUGUCUGGCUGAACUGAACAGAA
Molecule: long non-coding RNA, 683 nt
Filed under: Callithrix jacchus (white-tufted-ear marmoset)
Lineage: Eukaryota; Metazoa; Chordata; Mammalia; Primates; Cebidae
Description: lncRNA (ENSCJAG00000062063.2)
Source: RNAcentral